RNAcentral lists this long non-coding RNA (2495 nucleotides) under Lonchura striata (white-rumped munia). RNAcentral's name for it is "domestica (Bengalese finch) lncRNA (ENSLSDG00000001674.1)". The record is from RNAcentral. Lineage: Eukaryota; Metazoa; Chordata; Aves; Passeriformes; Estrildidae.
UCCUGAUGGGGUGUGCAUUUUUUUGGGCCCAUCCUGAUGGGGUGUGCAUUUUUUUGGGCUGAACCUGCCUCUCGGGUGUUUUUCCUGGGCCCCAGGAGAUCUUCGGGCCCAUCCUGGCCGUGUUCGUGUACCCCGAGCAGCGCUACCGCGAGGUGCUGGAGCUCAUCGACACCACCACCCCCUACGGCCUCACGGGGGCGAUCUUCGCCCGGGAGAAGGCUGCCAUCGAGGAGUCCCUGCGGGUGCUGCGCCACGCCGCCGGCAACAUCUACAUCAACGACAAAUCCACGGGGGCCGUGGUGGCCCAGCAGCCCUUCGGGGGCUCCCGCAUCUCAGGUGACACCAGGGCUGCUGGCCAGGCCCUCCCCAGCUGUCCCCUGUGUCCCUCCUGUCCCCUGUGUCCCUCCUGUCCUUCCAUGUCCCUCCCAUCCCUCCAUGUCCCUCUUGUCUCUAUGUCCCUCCUGUCCUUCUUGUCCUUCCAUGUCCCCAUCCUCUGUGUCCCCUUGUUCCUCCAAUCCCUGCAUGUCCCUCCCAUUCCUUGUGUCCCCUGUGUCCCUUCUGUGCUCCACGUCCCUCCGUGUCCCUCCUGUCCUCCUUGUCCUUCCAUGUCCCUCCUGUGCCCCGUGUCCCUCCAUGUCCCCAUCCUUUGUGUCACUCCAUGUCCCUCACAUUGCUCUGUGUCCCUCCGUGUCCUUCCCAUCCCUCCAUGUCCCUCCUGUGCUCCUUGUCCUUCCAUGUCCCUCGCAUUCCUUGUGUCCUGUGUCCUUCCCAUCCCUCCGUGUCCCUCCUGUGUCCUGUGUCCUUCCCGUCCCUCCUGUCCCCUGUGUCCCUCCUGUCCCCUUUGUCCCUUGUCCUGUGCCCCUCCCAUCCCUCCUGUUCUCCUUGUCCUUCCAUGUCCCUCCUGUCCCGUGUCCCUCUCAUCCUUUCCACAUCCCUCCUGUGCUCCGUGUCCCUGUUCUCUUCCCUCCUGUCCCUGAGUGUCCCUCCUGUGCCCCAUGUCCCCAUCCUCUGUGUCCAUGUCCCUCUGUGUCCCUCCAUGUCCCUCCCAUCUUUCUGCGUCCCUCCUGUCCUCCUUGUCCUUCCAUAUCCCUCCUGUCCCGUGUCCCUCUCAUCCCUCCACGUCCCUCCUGUCCUCCUGUGUCCCCUGUGUCCCUCCCAUCCCUCCACGUCCCUCCUGUGCUCCGUGUCCCUUGUCCUGUGUCCCUCCCAUCCCUCCUGUCCUCCUUGUCCUUCCAUGUCCCUCCUGUCCCAUGUCCCUCUCAUCCCUCCACGUCCCUCCUGUGCUCUGUGUCCCUGUUCUCUUCGUCCCUCCUGUCCCUGAGUGUCCCUCCAUGUCCCCAUCCUCUGUGUCCAUGUCCCUAUGUGUCCCCCGUGUCCCUCCCACCCCUCCCCUCCCUCCUGUGCUCCGUGUCCCUGUUCUCUUCAUCCCUCCUGUCCCUGUGUGUCCCUCCUGUGCCCCUCCAUGUCCCCACCCUUGUGUCCCUCGGUGUCCCUGCCACCCUCGUGGUGCCACCAGCCCUUUCUGCUGUCCCCAGGCACCAAUGACAAGCCCGGGGGUCCCCACUACCUGCUGCGCUGGACGUCCCCGCAGGCCAUCAAGGAGACACACGUGGCCCUGGGGGACUGGCAGUACCCCUGCAUGCAGUGACCCUGGGGGACUGGCAGUACCCCUGCAUGCAGUGACCCUGGGGACAGCUGCCACCGCAGCGCCGGCAGCGCUCGCACUACUGACCCCCCACCUGCCCCUCCUAGCUCCUGAAAAAAAAACAAACAAAAAAAGUUGUUAAAUGGUAAAAGCUCGGAGCUGCUCGUGGUGUCCUCGGCCGCCCCUGGGGACACGAUGGUGAGUGUGCCACUGCUUGGGUUGCAUGACCUUAAAGGGCUUUGCCAACCUCAGUGAUUCUGUGCAGGCAUGCUUCAUUAGGUCAGUCGUUAAUUAAGGGGUGGCUGCAGAGGCACAGCUGGACCCCGGCUCCCUUUUCCUCCCGGCUCUGCCACCCCCAGAGCGGAUCCCCCUCCCCAGGGCCGAGCAGGAGCUGAGAUCUGUCCCUGUCCCUGCACCCAGCCAUGUCCCUGCCUGUCCCAAAUCCCUGGGUGUGCAGGGCAGCCAGGCUGGUCCCACCCCUGGGCUGGGCUGUGUCCCCAGCCUGAGCCCCCUGGGCUGGGCUGUGUCCCCAACCUGAGCCCCCUGUCACCCCUGGGCUGGGCUGUGUCCCCAACCUGAGCCCCCUGUCACCCCUGGGCUGGGCUGUGUCUCCAGCCUGGCACCCCUGUCACCCCUGGGCUGGGCUGUGUCCCCAACCUGAGCCCCCUGUCACCCCUGGGCUGGGUUUUGUCCCCAACCUGAGCCCCCUGUCACCCCUGGGCUGGGCUGUGUCCCCAGCCUGGCACCCCUGGGCUGGGUUUUGUCCCCAGCCUGGCACCCCUGGGCUGGGUUUUGUCCCCAACUUGAGCCCCCUGUCACCCCUGGGCUGGGCUGUGUCCCCAGCCUGACA